GCUCUUCAGAUCUUAAAUAAGCAAAAGCCCCUGGAGUGUCAACAAAUGUAACAAGACACAAUGAUCAGCACAUUUCAUCAUUCUCAAAGCCUUUCUGUAGCUGCACGGCGAAAAUUUAGUAGUUAUCAAUUCAUCUUUUUACAAAACUAACCUUGAGGUAUCAAAUUAAACAAUAUUCCUUUCAAAAACCUGAACGCUGCAUAGACUCUCCAAAAAUCUGAUAACUGUGAACAUGUUCAGAGGCUUAUGAGCAACAACUUCAGCCUAACUUGUUGCUAAUCUAAUUUCACUUUGAAUUAAUGAAAACAUCAAUUCAAUUUAACUUGUUAUUAACCACAGAACAGAUUACUUGGAAUGCUUAAUGAUAGUAAUUAGUAAUAUUGCUAUGAAUGAUAAUAGUUGAAGCAUGACCAUGAGGGGUUGGCAUUGCAAAGUUUUACAUGAUGUUUUUCGUUUGUGUUUCUACCUUUCUGAUGACCAAUGAAAAGAUAAAUUCUACCUUCAAUGCGCCCAAUGUAAGUCACCAUGGUUGGAUCAUCAUAGCCAACACGAUCUCCAUGAAGCUCUACUCACUUCAUGCAUAACAUAAGAUUAAUAUUCCUCGAGUUGCAUUGUUAGAAAAGCAACUUGCCACCUCAGCAUGGUCAAUAAUAUAAGUAAGGUGUCAAACUAUUUUU
Molecule: long non-coding RNA, 677 nt
Filed under: Solanum tuberosum (potato)
Lineage: Eukaryota; Viridiplantae; Streptophyta; Magnoliopsida; Solanales; Solanaceae
Description: long non-coding RNA (STUB_LNC005002)
Source: RNAcentral